This 71-nucleotide small nucleolar RNA is filed under the name Myotis lucifugus (little brown bat). Its description in RNAcentral is "Small nucleolar RNA SNORD112 (ENSMLUG00000021153.1)". Lineage: Eukaryota; Metazoa; Chordata; Mammalia; Chiroptera; Vespertilionidae. The record is from RNAcentral.
UGGAGCAAUGAAAAGAGUGUGCCAUAAACCAAGGUUAUGAUUAAUCUAAUUCUGUGUAUCUGGCAUCCAUU